Molecule: ribosomal RNA, 658 nt
Filed under: uncultured bacterium
Lineage: Bacteria
Description: bacterial SSU rRNA
Rfam family: Bacterial small subunit ribosomal RNA
Source: RNAcentral
ACAGACGGAAACGACUGCUAAUACCGAAUGUGUUCCGGAGACCGCAUGAUUUCCGGAAGAAAGGAUGGCCUCUAUUUAUAAGCUAUCGCCUGAAGAGGGGUUUGCGUCUGAUUGGGCAGUUGGUGAGGUAACGGCCCACCAAACCUACGAUCAGUAGCCGGUCUGAGAGGAUGAACGGCCACACUGGAACUGAGACACGGUCCAGACUCCUACGGGAGGCAGCAGUGGGGAAUCUUCCGCAAUGGACGAAAGUCUGACGGAGCAACGCCGCGUGAGUGAUGACGGCCUUCGGGUUGCAAAGCUCUGUGAUCGGGGACGAAUGGCUGGUAUGCUAAUACCAUAUCAGAGUGACGGUACCCGAAUAGCAAGCCACGGCUAACUACGUGCCAGCAGCCGCGGUAAUACGUAGGUGGCAAGCGUUGUCCGGAAUUAUUGGGCGUAAAGCGCGCGCAGGCGGCUUCUUAAGUCCAUCUUAAAAGUGCGGGGCUUAACCCCGUGAUGGGAUGGAAACUGGGAGGCUGGAGUAUCGGAGAGGAAAGUGGAAUUCCUAGUGUAGCGGUGAAAUGCGUAGAGAUUAGGAAGAACACCGGUGGCGAAGGCGACUUUCUGGACGACAACUGACGCUGAGGCGCGAAAGCGUGGGGAGCAAACAGGAUUA